Molecule: ribosomal RNA, 621 nt
Filed under: Streptomyces sp. SCAU5219
Lineage: Bacteria; Bacillati; Actinomycetota; Actinomycetes; Kitasatosporales; Streptomycetaceae
Description: bacterial SSU rRNA
Rfam family: Bacterial small subunit ribosomal RNA
Source: RNAcentral
CUCCUUCGGGAGGGGAUUAGUGGCGAACGGGUGAGUAACACGUGGGCAAUCUGCCCUGCACUCUGGGACAAGCCCUGGAAACGGGGUCUAAUACCGGAUACUGACCCGCUUGGGCAUCCAAGCGGUUCGAAAGCUCCGGCGGUGCAGGAUGAGCCCGCGGCCUAUCAGCUUGUUGGUGAGGUAAUGGCUCACCAAGGCGACGACGGGUAGCCGGCCUGAGAGGGCGACCGGCCACACUGGGACUGAGACACGGCCCAGACUCCUACGGGAGGCAGCAGUGGGGAAUAUUGCACAAUGGGCGAAAGCCUGAUGCAGCGACGCCGCGUGAGGGAUGACGGCCUUCGGGUUGUAAACCUCUUUCAGCAGGGAAGAAGCGAAAGUGACGGUACCUGCAGAAGAAGCGCCGGCUAACUACGUGCCAGCAGCCGCGGUAAUACGUAGGGCGCGAGCGUUGUCCGGAAUUAUUGGGCGUAAAGAGCUCGUAGGCGGCUUGUCACGUCGGUUGUGAAAGCCCGGGGCUUAACCCCGGGUCUGCAGUCGAUACGGGCAGGCUAGAGUUCGGUAGGGGAGAUCGGAAUUCCUGGUGUAGCGGUGAAAUGCGCAGAUAUCAGGAGGAACACC